GGCGCUAUAGCUUAUAUGGUGAGAGCAUAAGAAUCAUAAUCUUAAGGGAUGAGUUCGAUUCUCAUUAGCGUCU
Molecule: transfer RNA, 73 nt
Filed under: bacterium AB1
Lineage: Bacteria
Description: tRNA-Met
Rfam family: tRNA
About the family: Transfer RNA (tRNA) molecules are approximately 80 nucleotides in length.
Source: RNAcentral